CCUUCAUGGAAUAUUGCCCAAUACGAAUUACCCGGUUACAAGUAGAGUCAUUGGCAGGGGAGUAGUCCGAAGUUUCCCCAGGUGGUAGCCGCUGAAAAAGCGUUUGUGCAUCUGGUCGGAAUAAGCGAAUGGCGAAGGGCAGCCCAUCUGUCUUUAAUACCUGACGGUGAAGGUACGAAAGCAUGGGGAAGCAAACAGGGAUUAGAUACCCUGGUAGUCCAUGCCGUAAACGAUGUCUAGUAGCCGUUGGAGCCUUUGAGGCUUUAGUGGCGCAGCUAACGCGAUAAGUAGACCGCGUGGGGAGUACGGUCGCAAGACUAAAACUCAAAUGAAUUGACGGGGGCCCGCACAAGCGGUGGAGCAUGUGGUUUAAUUCGAUGCAACGCGAAGAACCUUACCUGGUCUUGACAUAGUAAGAACUUUCCAGAGAUGGAUUGGUGCCUUCGGGAACUUACAUACAGGUGCUGCAUGGCUGUCGUCAGCUCGUGUCGUGAGAUGUUGGGUUAAGUCCCGCAACGAGCGCAACCCUUUUCCUUAUUUGCCAGCGGGUUAAGCCGGGAACUUUAAGGAUACUGCCAGUGACAAACUGGAGGAAGGCGGGGACGACGUCAAGUCAUCAUGGCCCUUAAGACCAGGGCUACACACGUGAUACAAUGGUCGGUACAAAGGGUUGCUACCUAGCGAUAGGAUGCUAAUCUCAAAAAGCCGAUCGUAGUCCGGAUUGGAGUSAGCAACUCGACUCCAUGAAGUCGGAAUCGCUAGUAAUCGUGGAUCAGAAUGCCGCGGUGAAUACGUUCCCGGRCCUUGUUAGAUACCCACCUCACAUAAGUGGGUUGAAACUAGGUAGAUUUAGAUCGAGCCUCAGUAAGUAGGUCGAAGCAAAGCGAGAGGGUC
RNAcentral lists this ribosomal RNA (894 nucleotides) under Acinetobacter junii. Its description in RNAcentral is "bacterial SSU rRNA". It matches the Rfam family "Bacterial small subunit ribosomal RNA", at positions 606 to 1533 of the family's 1533-position model. Lineage: Bacteria; Pseudomonadati; Pseudomonadota; Gammaproteobacteria; Moraxellales; Moraxellaceae. The record is from RNAcentral.